AAUAGUUGGCUUUUAGAAAUGUCUUUGUUCUCCUACCUUGACCUCAAGCUGUUAGGAAAAGGACUAAUCCUAGAAACAGUUGUUGCUGGAGUGGGCAUUUUUCUUUUUUUUCCAUUUGCUUUGUCCAUCAGUUACAUACAAUUUUUUCUUUGUAAGGAGAAAGUUCAGGCUUUUAUAGAAACCUCAUUACUAAGUUAUUAAGUGUUGUGCUGGAAUUGGACUGGAGUGGCAGCGUUAGACAGCAAUCAGGUGCAGCACUCUGGCUUAUAGCCACCUGCAGUGGGCAACAUUAGGAGAAAGAGAGAGGAUGAAUCUUCACUACGCUGAGGAUCCCAUUCCCCUGUCUCUUCAUGAUGGUGCUGACCAGUUCAAGAAUACUGGAGCAUGCUCAGACCAGG
This is a non-coding RNA of Phalacrocorax carbo (great cormorant), 398 nucleotides long. Lineage: Eukaryota; Metazoa; Chordata; Aves; Suliformes; Phalacrocoracidae. The record is from RefSeq and is a predicted model, not a curated record.